GAUCCUAUAGCUCAGCGGUAGAGCGUGUGAUUCCAGCCACGGAAAUUCCACAAGGUCUUCCGUUCAAUCCGGGAUAGGAUCA
Molecule: transfer RNA, 82 nt
Organism: Cylindrobasidium torrendii FP15055 ss-10
Lineage: Eukaryota; Fungi; Basidiomycota; Agaricomycetes; Agaricales; Physalacriaceae
Rfam family: tRNA
About the family: Transfer RNA (tRNA) molecules are approximately 80 nucleotides in length. Their secondary structure includes four short double-helical elements and three loops (D, anti-codon, and T loops).
Source: Rfam